Long non-coding RNA from Eptesicus fuscus (big brown bat), 256 nucleotides. RefSeq lists it as uncharacterized. The record is from RefSeq and is a predicted model, not a curated record. NCBI's taxonomy places the organism in Eukaryota, Metazoa, Chordata, Mammalia, Chiroptera, Vespertilionidae. The transcript has 4 exons.
GGAGAAUGCAGUAACGGCUAGAGCAGUUUAAAGAAAGAAGAAAAGGGCUUCCUGUUCCAGGAAUAUCUGAUACAUUUGUGCUUGGAUAGAGACGGCUCAGGUGUGGACUGCCUUCCUACUCAUCACCUGAAGAAGACAAUCUUUCUAGACCCAGAACUUUGGACAUCACUUCAAUCAAUUCCUCAACUCCAUCAUGGCAGUGGCCCUUGCAUUUGCAGUCUUCUUAAGAGGACUAAGUUAGCCUCACAGUACAAAG